Triticum dicoccoides is the source of this 2520-nucleotide RNA transcript. RefSeq lists it as uncharacterized. The transcript is spliced from 12 exons. Lineage: Eukaryota; Viridiplantae; Streptophyta; Magnoliopsida; Poales; Poaceae. The record is from RefSeq and is a predicted model, not a curated record.
GAGAAAUCGAUUCUUGUCCUACCUCGCUCCCGAGUCUCGACCCACGCGGCGGCGGCUGCUGCUGCUACAGGUUUAUACGGAUUCAAAGAUCUUCCUCCCGUUCUUCCCCUUCCUAUUCCUCCCGCGACGCUUCGGGCCUCCGAGUUUUCUUCUAGCGCGUCUUGUCUCCUUGGCUCGUCUCAGAUCGAUUCGCUCUGUCUCGUAGCCACCUCCGCGGCGGUCGCCGAGAUUGCCGUCGGGUCGCCACCGCCGGGUUUGGAGAGAUGCAGCGGUGUCACGGAAAGGACAAGGCGGCUACCAGCGCGACGCCGCACCACGCAAAGGGCAAGGCGGCCGCGAGCACGAUGCCGUACCACGCAAAGGAUAAGGCGGCUACUUGCGGCGCGAUGGGGCCGAAGCAUGUCCUCGCAGACGAGAACAUCGUGCAGGAGCACUUAGCACCUCCGGAUCGAAUUCGACAGAGGGGUUUGGAUAGUGCAAAGGAGAGAUCAUCAUCGCUGGUUAUGGGCUUCCGUAGAGAGAUGUCGCAAAAGCGAGGGGAGAAGGGGGAUACAACCUCAAUACAUCAGAAGCAUAAUGCAAAGGAGAAGACUUGCCCCCCUGAUCUGCUCCGCCGGCAGACGCAGGGUAUCCAGCGGCCUGUCAAGAGUCUUGCCGGAGAGAUGUCGCUGAAGCAAAGGGAGAAGGUGGGUACAGGCCUGAUUCCACAGGCGCAUAAUGCAAAGGAGAAGACAUGCCCCCCUGAUCAACUCCGCGGGCAGACGCAUGGUAUCCAGCGGCCUGUCAAGACUGAAGCACGACUUGCUGGAGAGAAGAAGCACAAAACUGAAGCACAUCUUGCCGGAGAGAAAAAGCACACGAAAGGCAAUGCGUCUUUUCCAGCGAAAAGAACCACUACACUACUCAAAGCAAGAACGAGUUCCCACUGUUCCGAUGAAUGUACCAGUCGUCCCAUCGAUACUAACGACCAUGGCAACACUGUUGCCACCCCGGAACAGAGGGAAGAAUCUGCCGCAAUCAAGAUAGAUAAAGAAGUGGAGUACAUAACCCAAAAGUUGAACAAGUUGGGAGUGCGAGAUGAUAUUGGCUUUGAGGAGUACUAUAAAUGCUUGAUGAAUCUGCCUUCCGACCCCUCCGUUGAUACUUCCAUCAGAUUGGAUGAUACAGAUCUUUAUGACAUGGACAUCCGCCACGCGGUGUAUCGCAUCAGAUCCUACAAGUUGUCACAAAAGGAGUCUAAGAAUGAGUUGUGCCAUGAUAAACUGAAAGAUUGCCCUGUGGAGCUUCUUGACAGGGACGAAUUUCCUACAGAUUUCCUCGUGAAGAUGCAAUAUUUUAGGUUCUUGGAGGAAGAAGGUGUAUUAGACUGGUUCUUCCACCCUGAACUCUGCAAGCUUGCUUGCCUGAAUGACUACCAGCGUCUAGUGCCUCGGGAUCAUGGUGCUGUUUUUGAUUGGGAGUAUGCUGAUUGGGAGUUGUACCGCAGUUACUUUCAUAGCUAUGAGAUGCAACAUGAAUACAUCGAGUACUUUGAAACAUUAUUAAGGGAACUUAAGUGGUUGAAAGAUUGUCUACCGGUUAACGAUACUUCUCCUACUGCAAGCAAAAUACGGACCAGAGGAAUUUAUCAAGCAACUAAGAUUGCCACUCGCUUUCCCAAGAUCACAACUCAUUUAGUUCGUAUUGGCUUCAGUGAUUGUCUUACUUACAUGGGCAUUGAGGCUAGGUGGUGUAACGGAUCCGAUGGUCUCCAUUUCGAGAUAUGGAAGCGAGUCACUCAACAAAAGGAGAGUUUCGAAAAUGCUUUGAAGGAAGUCUAUUUACUGAACAAGUGUCCGUCGCGGCAAGAUAGCAUCAAGUAUGCCAUAGAGUAUGACCAUUCCCUUAUGAAACUAGAGAUAGUUGGAAGCCCAGAAUUUGUAACGUGCAUGCUUAUCUCUUUUGCUUCUUUUCUUCACCUUUUCAGUUUCUUCAUUGCACGGCAAGUGUUCCCAAGGAAGUAUCAGAGGAGAAAGCUCAGGAGUUGAUUACAGAGAAAGUUAAAAAGCUGAGGAUAAAACCCAAAUUCUUUGACGAGUAUAUCAGAAAGAAGAUACGCAUUGCCAAAGCUAUAGGAUUGAUUACCGAGGUUUAAGAAGAUGCAUAUUGGGCCUGGCUUUUCGUCCUUGGAGCUUCCAUUUCUUCAAGAUGCCUUUUCAUGGAUUCCAGCACUUUUGCUGCUGCAAUGAAUACUGAACUAGAUCAGAUUCGUAGCUCUUACGAAGUACUCCCUCCGUUUCUUUUUAGUCCGCAUAUAAGGUUUGGUCAAAGUCAAGCUUUGUAGAGUUUGACUAACUUUAUAUUAAAAAAUAUAAACAUUCACAAUAUGAAAUCAAUACUAUCAGAUGCACCAUGAAACGUAUGUUCAUUCUAUCUAGUUUCAGUAUUGUAGAUGUUCAUAUUUUUUUAUAUAAAUUUGGUCAAACUUUGUGAUCUUAUAUGCGAAGUAAAAAGAAACGGAGGGAGUACAGUAGUAUAGUA